Long non-coding RNA from Mauremys reevesii (Reeves's turtle), 295 nucleotides. RefSeq lists it as uncharacterized. The record is from RefSeq and is a predicted model, not a curated record. The transcript has 3 exons. NCBI's taxonomy places the organism in Eukaryota, Metazoa, Chordata, Testudines, Geoemydidae.
GCUGGGGGCAGGCAGUUUUAGCCUUGCUGUAACCAGCGCUCCGCGUUUACACUGCCCCGUUCCAGCCUCCCCGCGUAACCUCCAGCAGUGAGGUAUGUAGCGAACUGACUCGAAUUGAGCCGCGGCUGUACAGCUCCAAGAAGGACGCUUUCUAAGCUGUCUCAAGCCCCAGCUAACUUUCCCAUGGAGCCAAGCAACUGGCAAAUUUUCUGCCAGUGGUGAGUAUGGUGCAGCAUCUUCGUGGAUCAAAGGGCAAAAAGGAGACUGAAAAGUAUCAACAAGAGGAGCUUCCAUU